Dendroctonus ponderosae (mountain pine beetle) is the source of this 800-nucleotide long non-coding RNA. RefSeq lists it as uncharacterized. The transcript is spliced from 3 exons. The record is from RefSeq and is a predicted model, not a curated record. NCBI's taxonomy places the organism in Eukaryota, Metazoa, Arthropoda, Insecta, Coleoptera, Curculionidae.
AUUAAUACAACGUGAAACCUUCAAAUCUGCAUGCAAGUCUGGGAGAGAGAUUGACCUCGAAAGGACGAAGUCGUUAAAGCAAACGGGUUUAAAGGCGAAGUGAGUGGUGAUUCACUUGCCAUGGAUGAGUAAUGUUAACAAAUCCAGCAUAAUAAGAGAAUUAUCAAAGAAUAAUAUAAUCUCCAUGAUGUAUAAAAUUAGCAAAUCAUGUUUUAUGUCUGGAUAUCCAGAAGCAUUACUCGACGGAAUUGUACUGAACUGUUAUUUCCUGACAUUCCAUGAAGAACAAUAUAUUUUUCACGUUUUACUAGUCAAUAGAGCAAAAGAUAAGUGUUGUUUAUUGCUUUCAUCGAGAACUCAUGGCUCACUUUAACAAUUAAAGCUUCAUGGUAAAAACUCUGCACUUUCAAUCUAACAUUGUCUACAACAUUUUUUCCAUCCACGGAAUUCUACAAAUGAAAAAAUUUGCACCGGAAUGCCUCAUCAUUCACUAUUGGCUAUUCGAACCUCGAAUUGGCACAAACUCGGUCAUGGAAAGAAAGGUACCUCUAUAAAAUAAUGUUGAAUGAGCCAUGUCAAGGUUGUUUGCCAUGAAAUUGUACAUACAGGGAAUAAGUCCUUAAUCGAUAUUUGCAUGCACAUUGAGCAUUUGCAGAAAAUACCGGACCUUCAUAUGCGAAACAAGCUGAUUCAUUUCCAUAAUUUAUUACAUUCGCAAUAAAGAAACGUUUAGUCGCCCAAAGAGCUUUUACUUGUAGAAAUUUCCGAAACUUUAAGAACCUUCAUUUCGAUCCUUCCUC